This 861-nucleotide ribosomal RNA is filed under the name Leuconostoc mesenteroides. Its description in RNAcentral is "bacterial SSU rRNA". It matches the Rfam family "Bacterial small subunit ribosomal RNA", at positions 27 to 869 of the family's 1533-position model. Lineage: Bacteria; Bacillati; Bacillota; Bacilli; Lactobacillales; Lactobacillaceae. The record is from RNAcentral.
GGAUGAACGCUGGCGGCGUGCCUAAUACAUGCAAGUCGAACGCACAGCGAAAGGUGCUUGCACCUUUCAAGUGAGUGGCGAACGGGUGAGUAACACGUGGACAACCUGCCUCAAGGCUGGGGAUAACAUUUGGAAACAGAUGCUAAUACCGAAUAAAACUUAGUGUCGCAUGACACAAAGUUAAAAGGCGCUUCGGCGUCACCUAGAGAUGGAUCCGCGGUGCAUUAGUUAGUUGGUGGGGUAAAGGCCUACCAAGACAAUGAUGCAUAGCCGAGUUGAGAGACUGAUCGGCCACAUUGGGACUGAGACACGGCCCAAACUCCUACGGGAGGCUGCAGUAGGGAAUCUUCCACAAUGGGCGAAAGCCUGAUGGAGCAACGCCGCGUGUGUGAUGAAGGCUUUCGGGUCGUAAAGCACUGUUGUAUGGGAAGAACAGCUAGAAUAGGAAAUGAUUUUAGUUUGACGGUACCAUACCAGAAAGGGACGGCUAAAUACGUGCCAGCAGCCGCGGUAAUACGUAUGUCCCGAGCGUUAUCCGGAUUUAUUGGGCGUAAAGCGAGCGCAGACGGUUUAUUAAGUCUGAUGUGAAAGCCCGGAGCUCAACUCCGGAAUGGCAUUGGAAACUGGUUAACUUGAGUGCAGUAGAGGUAAGUGGAACUCCAUGUGUAGCGGUGGAAUGCGUAGAUAUAUGGAAGAACACCAGUGGCGAAGGCGGCUUACUGGACUGCAACUGACGUUGAGGCUCGAAAGUGUGGGUAGCAAACAGGAUUAGAUACCCUGGUAGUCCACACCGUAAACGAUGAACACUAGGUGUUAGGAGGUUUCCGCCUCUUAGUGCCGAAGCUAACGCAUUAAGUGUCC